Molecule: ribosomal RNA, 477 nt
Filed under: uncultured anaerobic ammonium-oxidizing bacterium
Lineage: Bacteria
Description: bacterial SSU rRNA
Rfam family: Bacterial small subunit ribosomal RNA
Source: RNAcentral
UUCGCAAUGCCCGAAAGGGUGACGAAGCGACGCCGCGUGCGGGAAGAAGGCCUUCGGGUUGUAAACCGCUGUCGGGAGUUAGGAAAUGCAAGGAUGUUAAUAGCGUCUUUGCUUGACUAAGGCUCCGGAGGAAGCCACGGCUAACUCUGUGCCAGCAGCCGCAGUAAUACAGAGGUGGCAAGCGUUGUUCGGAAUUAUUGGGCGUAAAGAGCACGUAGGCGGCUAUGCAAGUCGGUUGUGAAAGCCUUCCGCUCAACGGAAGAACGGCAUCCGAUACUGCAUGGCUCGAGUGCGGGAGGGGAGAGUGGAACUUCUGGUGGAGCGGUGAAAUGCGUAGAUAUCAGAAGGAACGUCGGCGGCGAAAGCGACUCUCUGGCCUAUUACUGACACUGAGUGUGCGAAAGUUAGGGGAGCAAACGGGAUUAGAUACCCCGGUAGUCCUAACUGUAAACGAUGGGCACUAAGUAGAGGGGUUUU